Molecule: ribosomal RNA, 252 nt
Filed under: uncultured bacterium
Lineage: Bacteria
Description: partial 16S ribosomal RNA
Rfam family: Bacterial small subunit ribosomal RNA
Source: RNAcentral
UACGAAGGGGGCUAGCGUUGCUCGGAAUUACUGGGCGUAAAGCGCACGUAGGCGGCUUUCUAAGUCGGGGGUGAAAUCCUGGAGCUCAACUCCAGAACUGCCUCGAUACUGGAAAGCUCGAGUCCGGGAGAGGUGAGUGGAACUGCGAGUGUAGAGGUGAAAUUCGUAGAUAUUCGCAAGAACACCAGUGGCGAAGGCGGCUCACUGGCCCGGUACUGACGCUGAGGAGCGAAAGUGUGGGGAGCGAACAGG